UACAGAGGGUGCGAGCGUUGUCCGGAAUCACUGGGCGUAAAGGGCGCGUAGGCGGCUCGGUAAGGUUGCGGUGAAAGCCCCGGGGCUCAACCCCGGGUCGGCCGUGGCAACUGCUGAGCUGGAGCACUGUAGAGGCAGGUGGAAUUCCGGGUGUAGCGGUGGAAUGCGUAGAGAUCCGGAAGAACACCGGUGGCGAAGGCGGCCUGCUGGGCAGUGGCUGACGCUGAGGCGCGACAGCGUGGGGGAGCAAACAGG
Molecule: ribosomal RNA, 255 nt
Filed under: uncultured bacterium
Lineage: Bacteria
Description: partial 16S ribosomal RNA
Rfam family: Bacterial small subunit ribosomal RNA
Source: RNAcentral